GUCAGGGUCUCGUGCUGUUGCCCAGGCUGGUCUUGAACUCCUGGGCUCAAGCAAUCCUCCCGCCCUGGCCUCCCAAAGUACUGGAAUUACAGAUGUGAGCCAUCAAGCCCAGCCACAGCAGUUCUUAAAAGGAAAAUCACAUAAUCAUAUUUGUGUGUUAGAUAAUUAUAACAACAUAGAGGAUUCAUUGAAGAGAGAGAGGAGAUGAGAAAAACAAUUUCAUCCUUUGUUUAUCAAGGACCUAUUAUGUGUACUUGAUCAUGCAUCAGGCACUACAGAUUCAAAGAUGAAUAAGAGUCCAGCAAGGGAAAUAAUAAGUACCUUUAUGGGACUUGGGGAGACUCAAACUCUGGCCUCGGGUCUUCAUCCCCAUGAACCUCUUAAUUAAAACAAGAGAAGGGCCUGAACUAGAGCAGGGGUUGAGGACAUGGAAAAGAGAACCUACUUGAGAAACAUCUCAGAAAUGAAAUGAACCAGGCUGAGUUUUGGAGUGGAAGUAGAAGUUGAGAGCAGUGAAAACCAAAACUGAGGUCUUUAUCCUGGGCAACUACACAGAUAGUGCUGCUAAUAGGAAAAUGCAGGAGAAGCAACAGACUUAGAGGACUGUCUUGCAGGGUUUUCUUUCUGAGAGAGAGUAAAUAUCAAAUUCCUAUAGGACAGGUUUCCUGCACCACAAGGUUCCUUUCACUUAAAAAAAUUUUUUUUUAUAUUACACCAUCUUUAUUUGUACCUUACCGUCUAAGGCUAUCAAUCAAACUUCAGUAAGAACAGUUUCAGCAUCAACUAACGAACAGUAGCCAAACCAGAGAGCAGUCAAAAGUGUUUUAAAGGGAGCAGCAUCAGCUGAUGUUCUGCCAAGUCUCUGGGUGUUCAGGACCAUGGUCCCCCGGCACUUCCAGGCCCCUGUGGGCUGCAGGUGGAUCCCCAGGAGCCAAAG
This is a long non-coding RNA of Homo sapiens (human), 937 nucleotides long. Ensembl annotates it as long intergenic non-protein coding RNA 837. The record is from Ensembl. Lineage: Eukaryota; Metazoa; Chordata; Mammalia; Primates; Hominidae.